CCUACCGUGGUGUAGCGGUUUAACAUGUUUGACCCGGCUUGUCAGAAGACGUGGGUUUGAAUCCCAUCGGUAUAG
This is a non-coding RNA of Phthorimaea operculella (potato tuberworm), 75 nucleotides long. The record is from the annotation of a GenBank genome assembly. Lineage: Eukaryota; Metazoa; Arthropoda; Insecta; Lepidoptera; Gelechiidae.